CGAGGCCUCCUGACAACAGUUAUGUGGGUCAAGCCCUCAGAUGAUUGCAGCCUCAGCCAAGGUGUUGACUACAUGAGUGCUCUGAGCCCAAAUCACCCAGGUAAGCUACUCCUGAAGACCUGACUUAGAAGAAAUUAUAAGAUAAUAAACAUUUGUUUUUUUAUUUUAGUUUUUUAAAUGUUUAUUUAUUUUGAGAGAGAGAGGGAGGGGCAGAGAGAAAGAGAGAGAGAGAGAGAGAGAGAGAGAGAGAGAGAGUGUGAGUGAGUCCCAAGCAGGCUCCACGCUGUCAGCUCAGAGCCCAAUGUGGGGCUCCAACUCGAACCGUGAGAUCAUGACCUGAGCCGAGAUCAAGAGUCUGAUGCUUAACUGACUGAGUCACCAGUCGCCCCACAUUUGUUGUUUUAACACUAAAUUUGGGAGUAAUUUGCUAUUCAGAAGUAGAUAAUUAAUGCAAUAUUCAAAUGAAAAAAUAUCCUCGUACUCUGUACACUUACACAUCUAUGUAUUUGCUUGUGGGAUUUUACAGACACGUGCACAUUAUUUUACUAUUUUAUUACUGGACAAAGAAUUUGUGGACUUCCAUAAUUAUAGUAUACUUGUGUGAAUAUAGAUAAGGUUAUCUUACCUGUGGAAGAAAUUAUUAUACAUGUGUAGAUCUCUCCCAUUUCCUUUUUAACACUGAAUCUUUGUGGAAUACGGUGAAAUGUGUUCUGAGAAGGAAGGAAAAGAAACUCCUAAUAUUUCAGUAUUUCUUGAUAGGGUAACUGCUCAUGUUUACCCUAAGUUCUUUGUAUGCAGGAUUAGGGUAGAAUGAAUGGAGCAAACUCCUCAUAGUACUUAACUAUUUUAUUUCUAAGUGAUGAUGCAAAAGUGUCAGAAGCCAGGUUUUUCCAAUUAACUACUAUAACCUUUAUACAUACAUUAAAUGGAACAGUUAGUAAUAACAUUUGGAAUUGUAAGAGUGACAUACGGAAUCAAGAAAGACCUUUGAAAUGAAAUUAAGGAAUAGUCAAGAGGCAAAAGUCCAUAGGAAGCAGGCUUCAAGGAAAACUGAAUAAAAGUGUUCCUGAUGGCAUUUGCUUUUUCUUUUGCAUAUUGAGACCAACAGGCAAAGAAAAAGGGUAAAAAAUUCCUUCUCAAAUGGUAUCAGCAGAUUAGUUUGCAUAGCAGUUUGUAUGUAUUUAACCCAAAAUAUAAACAAAUAAAUUAACCCAAAAUAUAAACAAACGAUUUUUGGAUAGUACUGGUAGGCAUAAAGCCUGAGAAAUAGAAAAUAAAAAAGGAAAGUUAGAAAGAAAGAGAGUGGGGAAUGAAAAAAGGCUAAAAAAUGAAGAAAACAUGGAGCCAUGUGAGUAUUCACAUGCAUAUUCCUUGGAUUCUUAACCAUGUUCCAAACUUGGGGACAAUGCAGUUAUCUGGCCAAAUCUCAUUUUCUAAGCCUAUGGCUUCCCUUGGGCCUUCAGGAAAUAAAUAGUCCACUAUCAGUCAGCAAAUGAGUACUGGCUUCCACAGCUUGGGCCCCCAUGAAAUGAGGCCAGGACUAGAGGAGAAAUUCAUCAACUUACUGCUACCCCAGCGAAGACCUCAAAACAUAGUUUCUUUCUCCUUUUUACAUCAUGUUUGUUUAGGGGCGCCUGGGUGGCUCAGUCGGUUAAGCAUCUGACUUCGGCCCAGGUCAUGACCUCACAGUUUGUGGGUUCAAGCCCCACGUCAGGCUCUGUGCUGACAGGUCAGAGCCUGGAGCCUCCUUCAGAUUCUGUGUCUCCCUCUCUCUCUGCUCUUACCCCAUUCAUGCUCUGUCUCUCUCUGUGUCGCAAAAAUAAAUUAAAAAGUUAAAAAAAAAAUUUAUAUCAUGUUUGUUUAGUGACCGUAUGACUCUAUUGUGGAUGGAAGGGCUGUAUGUGCCUUGAAUAAUCCCUGUUGGACUGUGAGAUUUUAUUAUUAAAUCCCAUGUUAUCAUACAUACCUUAAAUGAUAAGCCUGUAUGGUUGAAUUUAGGAGACCAGGUUCCCGGUGCUGUUGCAUAUACGAUCAAACUAUAGAGCUAAUUCUCCAGGCCUGGAUUGUCUAAGCAUAAACUUGUCCUGUGUAGAUGUUUAUUGUGCUGAUUAAUUUUUAUAUAAUAAAUAUGACCAACAGUCAAGACCAUAUCUGAUAAACUAAAUAGCACUAUGAAGGAAUAAAAUAUUUGAGAAUUCCUGAAAAAUCUAGCAUGCUUGCUGACCAUAAAUAUGAGGAGAGCUGUUGAGAAAACCAGAUUUUUCUAAGAGAAAAGAAUGUGUGUGUAGACAAUGUAUAUCUUAAAGGGACAUUCUUUGGUUCUUUUUAGAAUAGUAAACAAUUGUUAAAUACUUUAUUGGCUUUCUUGUUGUCAUAUAUUUAGGCAAUGUAAGCAUUCACUUGAGUAAUCAUUUCCUAACUUGGACUGAACGUGCAGGAGUUGGCUUGGAGGAGGUUAGCCUUGGAGCCCCCUGGAUUCUGUUUCUUCGGGGAGGAGGCUGGCACAGAAUCUUCAAAAAGUGUCAUUUUAUUAAAAAUGUAAACUGGGGGGCGCCUGGGUGGCGCAGUCGGUUAAGCGUCCGACUUCAGCCAGGUCACGAUCUCGCGGUCCGUGAGUUCGAGCCCCGCGUCGGGCUCUGGGCUGAUGGCUCAGAGCCUGGAGCCUGUUUCCGAUUCUGUGUCUCCCUCUCUCUCUGCCCCUCCCCCGUUCAUGCUCUGUCUCUCUCUGUCCCAAAAAUAAAUAAACGUUGAAAAAAAAAAAAUUAAAAAAAAAUGUAAACUGGGAUGGCACCUACUUUUCAACUAAGAAAAUGUUAUACAAUGUAUCUAAUGUAAAUUUAACCCUCUAAUGCAAUUUAAACCCUCCAAGGGGAAAUUAGGCAGAUUAAAAAAUUUCUUCUUAAAUUUAUUUUUAGAGAGUGAGCAGGAGAGAGGGGCAGAGGAGAGAGAGAGAAUCUCAGGCUUAGUGCAGAGACCAGCGCAGGGCUCUAUCUCACGACCCUGCUGAGAUCACGACCUGAACUGAUGCCAAGAGUCGGACCCUCAACCCAUUGAGCCACCCAGGCGCCCCACUGAAGCAGAUAUUUUUAAUCAAGGUGCCCACCAUCAUCAUUCCACAAAUCCCAUUGUUUGAAGCAGCCUAACUCAAAGAAGCCAAUUCUAACGUGAUUGAGUGGUUUUCCCAUAGUUAAAGCUAAAUUUUAACUGAGUCCUAUCUGACUUUUAUCUGAAUUUCAUCAGAACAUUAUGGUCAUGGCAUUUUAAAGAUUUCUUUCCUUUGAUUAUCCUUCCCAUUUUACAGCCCUUCCAAAUUGCAGAGAAGAUUGAGCUAGAAGUGUUUUCUUCCCCCAGAGCACACUGCUGAUAUUUCUUGGCUCAUCUCACUGAGACCAGACAUGGACCCCCUGCACACAGGGUCAUAGGAUUUGUUCAGCUGUGACCAAGAAUCUCCAGUUCUAUGGCAUAGUAGCUGAAAUGGAAAACUGCAUUUUUUACCUUGACAUCUCCUCCAUCCUAGUUUUUCAGGAUUGAUGAUUGGGGUAAGCGUAAAAACUUUUCAGUGGUUUCUUAGAUAAGAUACCAAAAGCACAAGCAACAACAAAAGAAAAAAUACAUAAAGUGAACUGCAUCAAACUUUAAAACGUUUGUGUUUCAAGGAACAGCACCAAGAAAGAGAAAAGACAGCUCACAGGAUGGGAGAAAAUAUUUGCAAAUCAUGUAUCUAAUACACCUCAGUAAUAAAAAUGCAACCCAACUGAAAAAUGGGCAAAAUCUCUGAGUAGAAAUUUCAACAAAGAAAAUAGAAAGAUGACCAAAAGCACAUGAAAGGACGCUUAGCACCCUUAAUCAUCAGGGAAUGGUAAAUCAAAACCCUCGUGAAAUACCCCUUCACAUGCACCAGGGUAACUAUAAUCAGAAGGAGAGAUAACAACAAGGAUGUGGAGAAGGAGUCCCCAGACACUGCUGGUGGGAAUGUCAAGCGGUGCCAGCACUUCGGAAAAUAGCCUGGCAGUUUCUCAGAUGGUUAAAGAUAGAGUUAACAUCUGCCCCCCAGUAAUGUCACUGCCAGGUGAAUUCAUUUCUCACCAAAGAGAAUUGGAAACACAUGUCUGCACAAAAGCUUGUAUACAAAUGCUCAUAGCAAUAUUAUUCAUAGCCAAAAUAUUCAUAUUCAUAGCAAUAGUAUUCAUAGCCAGAGAGCAGGAAAAAACCUUAAAUAUCCAUCAACUGGUGAGUGGAUAAACAAAAGAUGAUUUAUCUGAAGAAUAUGAAACACUAAUUUGAAAAGAUCUCUGUAUUCCUAUGUUCACUGCAGCAUUGUUUACAGGAGCCAAGAUAUGGAAGUAGCCCAAGUGUCCGUCCGUAGACGAGUGGAUACAGAAGAUGUGGAGAUACGUACGAUGGAAUGUUACUCAGCCAUAAGAAAGGAUGAAAUCUAGCCAUUGGCAACGACAUGAAUGGACCUUGAGGGUAUUAUGGUAAGUGAAGUAAGUCAGAUGGAAGAGGACAAAUUCUGUGUGGUUUCACUUAUAGGUGGAAUCUAAAAAACCAAACGAACGAACCAACAAAAUGAAAACAAAUUCACAGAUAUAGAGGAUGGAGUGGUGGUUGCCAGAAGGGAAAGGGG
Molecule: long non-coding RNA, 4627 nt
Filed under: Lynx pardinus (Iberian lynx)
Lineage: Eukaryota; Metazoa; Chordata; Mammalia; Carnivora; Felidae
Rfam family: tRNA (bases 1633-1717)
Source: RNAcentral